Molecule: transfer RNA, 72 nt
Filed under: Hormoscilla sp. SP12CHS1
Lineage: Bacteria; Bacillati; Cyanobacteriota; Cyanophyceae; Gomontiellales; Gomontiellaceae
Also listed under: 2 other names
Description: tRNA-Thr
Rfam family: tRNA
About the family: Transfer RNA (tRNA) molecules are approximately 80 nucleotides in length. Their secondary structure includes four short double-helical elements and three loops (D, anti-codon, and T loops). Further hydrogen bonds mediate the characteristic L-shaped molecular structure. tRNAs have two regions of fundamental functional importance: the anti-codon, which is responsible for specific mRNA codon recognition, and the 3' end, to which the tRNAs corresponding amino acid is attached (by aminoacyl-tRNA synthetases). tRNAs cope with the degeneracy of the genetic code in two manners: having more than one tRNA (with a specific anti-codon) for a particular amino acid; and 'wobble' base-pairing, i.e. permitting non-standard base-pairing at the 3rd anti-codon position.
Source: RNAcentral
GCCGGUGUAACUCAGGGGUAGAGUAGCUGAUUUGUAAUCAGUCUGUCGCAGGUUCAAAUCCUGUCACCGGCU